CCUACGGGGGGCUGCAGUGGGGGAUAUUGCACAAUGGGGGAAACCCUGAUGCAGCGACGCCGCGUGGGUGAAGAAGCGCCUCGGCGCGUAAAGCCCUGUCAGCAGGGAAGAAAAUGACGGUACCUGAAGAAGAAGCCCCGGCUAACUACGUGCCAGCAGCCGCGGUAAUACGUAGGGGGCAAGCGUUAUCCGGAUUUACUGGGUGUAAAGGGGGCGCAGACGGCGAUGCAAGCCAGGGGUGAAAGCCCGGGGCCCAACCCCGGGAGUGCCCGUGGAACUGCGUGGCUAGAGUGCAGGAGGGGCAGGCGGAAUUCCUGGUGUAGCGGUGAAAUGCGUAGAUAUCAGGAGGAACACCGGUGGCGAAGGCGGCCUGCUGGACUGCAACUGACGUUGAGGCCCGAAAGCGUGGGGAGCAAACAGGAUUAGAUACCCUUGUAGUC
Molecule: ribosomal RNA, 440 nt
Filed under: uncultured bacterium
Lineage: Bacteria
Description: partial 16S ribosomal RNA
Rfam family: Bacterial small subunit ribosomal RNA
Source: RNAcentral